RNAcentral lists this unclassified non-coding RNA (704 nucleotides) under Hevea brasiliensis (rubber tree). The record is from RNAcentral. Lineage: Eukaryota; Viridiplantae; Streptophyta; Magnoliopsida; Malpighiales; Euphorbiaceae.
GGAAAAAAAAAAAAAAAAGGAAACAAGGGUUUUGCUUGUCGCACCAUGAUAGCCAGAGAAAAGCAAUUGCAUGAUAACGUACGUAAUGGAGAUUUGAGAGAGUAAUGAAGAAAGUUUCCACUUGCAGAGUAAAAAAAUGGAGGUAAAAAACACGGCAAGGUUAAGAUUCAAAGUGCACAACAAAAGAAAAAAAAGGUAUUCACUGCCUUAAUGGUUCUUUCUCUUGUGGUUGGAUAGUGUCAUUGGAUGGAGAGAGAGAGAGAAUCAAAGCUGCAAACUUUCACGUCUCAUAUCUAGUGUACUUGCUUCUGCUCUUAAAUAUUUAUGUCUGAGGAGUUCCCUCACUGUUUCAGUAUUUAUGUCUAUUUCAGAAUCUAUGUCCCAAUGUUUUAAAGAAUCCAAAGAAAAGAAAGAAAAUAAAAGAGUAAAUUUUUUUCCAAAAAAAACAUUAUGGUUAAUUUUGUAUCUUAAUUUCUCUAACAGAAAGACAAUAAAACCGGAGAAAGAAAACCCAAAACCAUGAAAGUUCCCACUGAACUUACUGAUGAUUCUUCUACUGGGUUUCUCUAUUCUCUCUUCUUCUUUCUCGAAGUUCAGCCACAACAAAUAACCCGGAACAUAAAAAUUCUUUCUUGUUUCUUUAUUAUUGUUUUCACUGGUUUGUUUAAGAGGAGGGAAGGUGUGUGUGUAUAUAUAUAAAAACA